GAUGAACGCUGGCGGCGUGCUUAAUACAUGCAAGUCGAGCGAACGGACGAGAAGCUUGCUUUUCUGAUGUUAGCGGCGGACGGGUGAGUAACACGUGGAUAACCUACCUAUAAGACUGGGAUAACUUCGGGAAACCGGAGCUAAUACCGGAUAAUAUUUUGAACCGCAUGGUUCAAAAGUGAAAGACGGUCUUGCUGUCACUUAUAGAUGGAUCCGCGCUGCAUUAGCUAGUUGGUAAGGUAACGGCUUACCAAGGCAACGAUGCAUAGCCGACCUGAGAGGGUGAUCGGCCACACUGGAACUGAGACACGGUCCAGACUCCUACGGGAGGCAGCAGUAGGGAAUCUUCCGCAAUGGGCGAAAGCCUGACGGAGCAACGCCGCGUGAGUGAUGAAGGUCUUCGGAUCGUAAAACUCUGUUAUUAGGGAAGAACAUAUGUGUAAGUAACUGUGCACAUCUUGACGGUACCUAAUCAGAAAGCCACGGCUAACUACGUG
This 497-nucleotide ribosomal RNA is filed under the name uncultured bacterium. RNAcentral describes it as "partial 16S ribosomal RNA". It matches the Rfam family "Bacterial small subunit ribosomal RNA", at positions 28 to 507 of the family's 1533-position model. The record is from RNAcentral.